Molecule: long non-coding RNA, 391 nt
Organism: Cebus imitator (Panamanian white-faced capuchin)
Lineage: Eukaryota; Metazoa; Chordata; Mammalia; Primates; Cebidae
Exons: 3
Source: RefSeq, a predicted model, not a curated record
CUGAACAAACAUAUAUAUUAAUCCUGACGGGACACAUACUAAAAUAACAUUCCCAAACACGGCAGUAAGAAAGGAUGAACUAUGAAAAGAAUGUGCAGAUAAAUGAAUGAAACUUCGGAGGACAAAAAUAUGAUUUCAGGACGACAGGCUGUGCCUUGGCCAUCCGCCCAUCUUAUAUUGGCCUUAGACACAAAUCAUGGAGUAGAGAGCAACUGUCUGGAGGGGGGUCUUCAGUCACCCCACCCAGGGGGAGACAUGUCCCACUGUCCCAUUGCAGUGGCCUCAGGAAUAGGAGAUCAAGACCCACCUGUUGUGAUGAAUAAAUCCAGGCUCUCAGCAACACAGGGAGAAGCAGCUUACAACACCACGGCAACCAGGUAACUGCACAGAC